Molecule: long non-coding RNA, 923 nt
Organism: Silurus meridionalis
Lineage: Eukaryota; Metazoa; Chordata; Actinopteri; Siluriformes; Siluridae
Exons: 3
Source: RefSeq, a predicted model, not a curated record
UUUCAGACCGGGGGUUUGAAUUAGGCACAACACCUGUUCGGUCUUUAUGAAUGCUUUUUUACUCACUGGACUGAUCCUUUUGUCUACAGCAACUAAAGGUAUCCAUGAUCCUUUACGAGAUCUUCUGAGCUGUCUUCAUCUAUGCUGGAACAAACAACAUCAGGCUGAGGCAAAUGGAGAUCCAGAAAGCUUCUGGCUGAGACGAUAUGCAGCACAUCAUCCACGAUGAGCAGCAUAGUGUCAGGACCGUUUCCCACAUAACAGCAAGGAAUUGAGUGCUUCAGUAGACUUUUUCCUCAAAAUAAAUAGCUACAGUCAUGGUGUCAAGAAUACAAACUACCCUUUGUUGAUAACUGGAAUUAUUUCUGGGAGUGUCCUAGGUUUUUUGGCCCUGAUGGCCUGCACCUUCGCAGAAUUUUAGCGGGAUUCCAAUCAGACAACAUUUCCAGGAUGCUGCACUCCAUCUGACUGGCAUCUUGAGGUUGUGCCAGCUCCAGUCGUGUCCCAACUCAUGAAGCUUAUGGACCUUUAAAGAAGUAGAUGCCGAGCUCGCAAACACCCUGAACCAUCUACAGACGUACCAGCGGCAUUUGGAUUUCACAUGUAGUGUUUGGAGAUUGGACCUCUUUGAGUGUUUGAAGGCAUAGAGAAGCUGGUGUUGGAUCUACGAUGAUCUCAAAUGUUGGGCUUUUUUAUGGGUUGCUCAGUAGCUCCUGGUUCCAUUCCCUCGACUGACUGUAAAAGACUGUAGAAAGGACAUUAAUCACAAUCUCACAUUCCGGUGCUAAUGUUAGUUUUACUCCUUGAUGUUUUGUAUUGUUUUAAGAUUUAUAAUCACACUCUUGAUAUCACGUAAACUAGGAUGGGUUCCCCUUUUGAGUCUGGUUCCUCUCAAGGUUUCUUCCUCAUAACAUCUAAGGGAG